CAUUGUAUAGUUGUCUAAUUGCCUGGUUUGUGGUUACCCUGCGCAGCGGUUCAGUGCAGAGAUCUGCGCAUUACACAGGAAAUCAGUUGGGAAGGCCGGUCUCUCUUGUUUCAGUCAAUUGUUAGCUACCACAAGUCUGAAGUUGUCUCAGUGCGGUUCUCUUUUUGGGUCACCGUUGCUGCAUUUCAUCAGUGUCACACUAGGCCAUCAUUCUCCUACCGGCCCAGCUGCACACCUGAGCAUGGUGCGGGGGUGGACUUGACAGCUGCACACCUGAGCUUGGUGCGGGGGUGGACUUGACAGCUGCACACCUGAGCUUGGUGCGGGGGUGGACUUGACAGCUGCACACCUGAGCUUGGUGCGGGGGUGGACUUGACAGCUGCACACCUGAGCUUGGUCCUGGGAUGGACUUAACAAAUGCACACCAGUUAGCUCGGUGCUGGCCCUGCUGGGACUGGAAAACUAAUCCAUAACUUAGUGCUACCAUCACAGGGAAGGUGAAGAAGCACCAAUCAAGGAAACGCUGAAUAUCCUCUCACAAAUGAUGUGCACUGGAAGCUGAUGCAGAUGGGAGGCUACAAAGCUCACACACGAGGCAGUAUCAGGGUUUGGUCAUCUCUGUGCAGUUAAUUACUGAGGGAGCCACCAACAACUCCAAGCAUAUGGUGUGGCUAACUCUGAAAAUGAAAAAGAACUCAAUUUCUUCCCUACCAAAAUAUCUUGCUUGCUUAAGAUGUCUGCAGAUUAUCAGCACUGGAAGGUGAUGUGGAGGAGAGACUGAAGAGCUCAAACAUGAAGCACUGGUCAUCUCUGUGCAGUUCAGGAAGAAGCCACCAGUAACUCCCAAGAUAACUCUGAAAACACACAUACUCUAGAGAAGAGUAAAUCAAGGAAAAUUCUUGUGCAAGCAAUUUUAAUUUCAUAAAAUAUAAAAAUAAAUUGCAAUUAACAUCUUGAGUCUGUACAUCCUUGUUGCAAACAUCUCACAAUUGUAUACGAACAUGCAUCACACACAUGGACUUCAUACUCAGUGCAUGCUGUAGUUAUCUGGAAGCCCUGUCUCUUUCAUCAGGAGACGUAAAAGUGCAAGCUAGGUAGUCAUAUUUUAAGUAACUAUAAAUUAGCCUUGCCCUUGAGAUUUUGAAAAGUCUAUCAAUGGUUAGUCAAAGCAUUAUUAACCCUCCAAAACACUGUGAAAACAAACAGCUGAGGACAAGAGUCUUCCAGCUGAACGUGGAGCACGACACAUAUUACACAGAAAGCUCAUACUGGCAGAGGCAUUAGUCAGGAGGAUGAGACAGAUGGCAUCAAGAAAUGACUGCAACAAUAAAUCUAGAGAGAGAGAGAGAGAGAGAGAGAGAGAGAGAGAGAGAGAGAGAGAGAGA
Scylla paramamosain (green mud crab) is the source of this 1385-nucleotide long non-coding RNA. RefSeq lists it as uncharacterized. The record is from RefSeq and is a predicted model, not a curated record. NCBI's taxonomy places the organism in Eukaryota, Metazoa, Arthropoda, Malacostraca, Decapoda, Portunidae. The transcript has 5 exons.